This 390-nucleotide ribosomal RNA is filed under the name Triticum aestivum (bread wheat). Its description in RNAcentral is "partial small subunit ribosomal RNA". The record is from RNAcentral. Lineage: Eukaryota; Viridiplantae; Streptophyta; Magnoliopsida; Poales; Poaceae.
AUGAGGGAGGCCCUGGUGGAUGCCACGGGUUCAGGGAUGGAGGAUUGUGCGAGCAUACUAGUGGACGACAUACCACAGCUACUUAACAUCACUGCUCUGACGGUCAAUAUCACAACAUGGAAGGGGCAUUCGUAUGCUUCCAGUUUGGCAAGGCUCAUUGCACAAUGCAGCAAUCUUGAAGACCUCCGCAUUGAUGUCACGAGAGGCACCGAGAAGCCGGCAUGCUUGGAUCGAGCUUGCGUCUGCCACGACGAAGACGGCUGGGAGAACCAGCAGCUCUCACUGGAGCGUCUUGUACACUUGGACAUCGCUGGGUUCCAGGGACUGGACUACGAGGAGCGCCUGUCUCAGAUGAUACUAGCGGGCGCCCCAGCUCUCAAGAGAGAAUGA